RNAcentral lists this ribosomal RNA (420 nucleotides) under uncultured bacterium. RNAcentral's name for it is "partial 16S ribosomal RNA". It matches the Rfam family "Bacterial small subunit ribosomal RNA", at positions 355 to 762 of the family's 1533-position model. The record is from RNAcentral.
UGGGGAAUAUUGCACAAUGGGCGCAAGCCUGAUGCAGCCAUGCCGCGUGUGUGAAGAAAGGCCUUCGGGUUGUAAAGCAACUUUCAGCGAGGAGGAAGGUGGUGAGCUUAAUACGCUCAUCAAUUGACGUUACUCGCAGAAGAAGCACCGGCUAACUCCGUGCCAGCAGCCGCGGUAAUACGGAGGGUGCAAGCGUUAAUCGGAAUUACUGGGCGUAAAGCGCACGCAGGCGGUUUGUUAAGUCAGAUGUGAAAUCCCCCGGGCUCAACCUGGGAACUGCAUUUGAAACUGGCAAGCUAGAGUCUCGUAGAGGGGGGCUAGAAUUCCAGGUGUAGCGGUGAAAUGCGUAGAGAUCUGGAGGAAUACCGGUGGCGAAGGCGGCCCCCCUGGACGAAGACUGACGCUCAGGUGCGAAAGCGU